UACGGAGGAUGCGAGCGUUAUCCGGAUUUAUUGGGUUUAAAGGGUGCGCAGGCGGAUUUUUAAGUCAGCGGUCAAAUCGUGGGGCUCAACCCCAUCCAGCCGUUGAAACUGGGGAUCUAGAGUGUGCGAGAAGUAUGCGGAAUGCGUGGUGUAGCGGUGAAAUGCAUAGAUAUCGCGCAGAACUCCGAUUGCGAAGGCAGCAUGCCGGCUCCACACUGACGCUGAGGCACGAAGGCCAGGGGAGCGAAAGGG
RNAcentral lists this ribosomal RNA (252 nucleotides) under uncultured Bacteroidales bacterium. RNAcentral's name for it is "partial 16S ribosomal RNA". It matches the Rfam family "Bacterial small subunit ribosomal RNA", at positions 524 to 776 of the family's 1533-position model. The record is from RNAcentral. Lineage: Bacteria; Pseudomonadati; Bacteroidota; Bacteroidia; Bacteroidales.